RNAcentral lists this transfer RNA (76 nucleotides) under Anaerolinea sp. Its description in RNAcentral is "tRNA-His". It matches the Rfam family "tRNA". From Rfam's summary of the family: Transfer RNA (tRNA) molecules are approximately 80 nucleotides in length. Their secondary structure includes four short double-helical elements and three loops (D, anti-codon, and T loops). Further hydrogen bonds mediate the characteristic L-shaped molecular structure. tRNAs have two regions of fundamental functional importance: the anti-codon, which is responsible for specific mRNA codon recognition, and the 3' end, to which the tRNAs corresponding amino acid is attached (by aminoacyl-tRNA synthetases). tRNAs cope with the degeneracy of the genetic code in two manners: having more than one tRNA (with a specific anti-codon) for a particular amino acid; and 'wobble' base-pairing, i.e. permitting non-standard base-pairing at the 3rd anti-codon position. The record is from RNAcentral. RNAcentral also lists the same sequence under 2 other names. Lineage: Bacteria; Bacillati; Chloroflexota; Anaerolineae; Anaerolineales; Anaerolineaceae.
GUGACCAUAGCUCAAUUGGCAGAGCACCUGGUUGUGGCCCAGGAGGUCGUGGGUUCAAGCCCCACUGGUCACCCCA